ACAGAGACGUCGAGCGUUGUUCGGAUUCAUUGGGCGUAAAGGGUGCGUAGGCGGUGAGGUAAGUUGGAUGUGAAAUCUCAGGGCUCAACCCUGAAAGUGCAUCCAAAACUACCUUGCUUGAGGACUGGAGGGGAGACUGGAAUUCUCGGUGUAGCGGUGAAAUGCGUAGAUAUCGAGAGGAACACCAGUGGCGAAGGCGGGUCUCUAGCCAGUUCCUGACGCUGAGGCACGAAAGCCAGGGUAGCCAACG
This 250-nucleotide ribosomal RNA is filed under the name uncultured bacterium. RNAcentral's name for it is "partial 16S ribosomal RNA". It matches the Rfam family "Bacterial small subunit ribosomal RNA", at positions 525 to 774 of the family's 1533-position model. The record is from RNAcentral.